GUCUGUUUGAAGGUAUAAAAAGUUUAGCCUGCCCACUGAUAAUUGUUAUUAAAGGGCCGCGGUAUUCUGACUGUGCAAAGGUAGCAUAAUCGUUAGUUUUUUAAUUGGAAUCUUGUAUGAAUGGUUUGACAAAAAAAAAUCUGUCUUUAUAAUUAUUUAUUGAAUUUAACUUUUAAGUGAAAAGGCUUAAAUAAAUUAAAAAGACGAUAAGACCCUAUAAAGCUUAAUAUUAAUUUUUUGUUAUAAUUAAAUUUUAAAAUUAUAUAAAGGUUUAUUAAAAAAGUUUAUUUUGUUGGGGUGACAAUGGUAAAAUAAUUAUUAACUGUUAAUUUUUUUUUAGACAAAGAUAAAUGAGUAWAAAUAUAAAAAAUAAUUUAUUUAUAAAUGAUCCUAUAUUAAAGAUUAUAAGUUUAAGUUACUUUAGGGAUAACAGCGUUAUUUUUUUUGAGAGUUCUUAUCGAGAAAAAAGUUUGCGACCUCGAUGUUGAAUUAAAAUAUCUAUAUAAUUGUAGCAGUUAUAUAAGAAGGUCUGUUCGACCUUUAAAUUUUUACAUGAUUUGAGUUCAGACCGGCGUAAGCCAGGUCGGUUUCUAUCUUUUAAAUAUUUAAAAAUUAUUUUAGUACGAAAGGAUUAAAUAAUUAGAAUUAUUUUUGAUAAUUAAAUAAG
RNAcentral lists this ribosomal RNA (667 nucleotides) under Bresedium laevimanum. Its description in RNAcentral is "Pseudosesarma laevimanum partial large subunit ribosomal RNA". The record is from RNAcentral. Lineage: Eukaryota; Metazoa; Arthropoda; Malacostraca; Decapoda; Sesarmidae.